AAAGAGUGCAGUUACACUGUUUAUGUUCAACAUUUAACCAUCCAUCUUAUUUGAAAUUUUUUUAUAAUUAGUAAUUAUAUUGUUAUUAGAUGAUAAAACAUCUAUUGUACUGACUUUCUUUUUAAUUUUUUUAUAAAUUUUUCAAAUAAGAUGAACGGUCAAACGAAAUAUACGGCUACAGUUAAA
Molecule: microRNA precursor, 186 nt
Filed under: Oryza punctata
Lineage: Eukaryota; Viridiplantae; Streptophyta; Magnoliopsida; Poales; Poaceae
Description: MIR812 microRNA precursor family
Rfam family: MIR812 microRNA precursor family
Source: Rfam by way of RNAcentral